This 401-nucleotide ribosomal RNA is filed under the name bacterium. RNAcentral describes it as "partial 16S ribosomal RNA". It matches the Rfam family "Bacterial small subunit ribosomal RNA", at positions 355 to 776 of the family's 1533-position model. The record is from RNAcentral.
UGGGGAAUUUUGCACAAUGGGGGAAACCCUGAUGCAGCGACGCCGCGUGAUUUAGAAGGCCUUCGGGUUGUAAAAAUCUUUUCUAUGGGAAGAAAAUGACAGUACCAUAGGAAUAAGGACCGGCUAAUUACGUGCCAGCAGCCGCGGUAAUACGUAAGGUCCGAGCGUUGUCCGGAAUCAUUGGGCGUAAAGGGUACGUAGGCGGGUAAGCAAGUUAGAAGUGAAAUCCUAUAGCUCAACUAUAGUAAGCUUUUAAAACUGCUCAUCUUGAGGUAUGGAAGGGAAAGUGGAAUUCCUAGUGUAGCGGUGAAAUGCGCAGAUAUUAGGAGGAAUACCGGUGGCGAAGGCGACUUUCUGGCCAUAACCUGACGCUGAGGUACGAAAGCGUGGUAGCAAACAGG